This 492-nucleotide ribosomal RNA is filed under the name uncultured bacterium. RNAcentral describes it as "partial 16S ribosomal RNA". It matches the Rfam family "Bacterial small subunit ribosomal RNA", at positions 29 to 507 of the family's 1533-position model. The record is from RNAcentral.
AGUGAACGCUGGCGGUAGGCCUAACACAUGCAAGUCGAACGGCAGCACAGUAAGAGCUUGCUCUUACGGGUGGCGAGUGGCGGACGGGUGAGGAAUACAUCGGAAUCUACUUUUUCGUGGGGGAUAACGUAGGGAAACUUACGCUAAUACCGCAUACGACCUACGGGUGAAAGCAGGGGAUCUUCGGACCUUGCGCGAUUGAAUGAGCCGAUGUCGGAUUAGCUAGUUGGCGGGGUAAAGGCCCACCAAGGCGACGAUCCGUAGCUGGUCUGAGAGGAUGAUCCGCCACACUGGAACUGGGACACGGUCCAGACCCCUACGGGAGGCAGCAGUGGGGAAUAUUGGACAAUGGGCGCAAGCCUGAUCCAGCCAUACCGCGUGGGUGAAGAAGGCCUUCGGGUUGUAAAGCCCUUUUGUUGGGAAAGAAAAGCAGCAGGUUAAUACCCCGCUGUUCUGACGGUACCCAAAGAAUAAGCACCGGCUAACUUCGUG